Molecule: ribosomal RNA, 438 nt
Filed under: Staphylococcus aureus
Lineage: Bacteria; Bacillati; Bacillota; Bacilli; Caryophanales; Staphylococcaceae
Also listed under: 1 other name
Description: partial 23S ribosomal RNA
Rfam family: Bacterial large subunit ribosomal RNA
Source: RNAcentral
CACUGCCGAGAAAAGCCUCUAGAUAGAAAAUAGGUGCCCGUACCGCAAACCGACACAGGUAGUCAAGAUGAGAAUUCUAAGGUGAGCGAGCGAACUCUCGUUAAGGAACUCGGCAAAAUGACCCCGUAACUUCGGGAGAAGGGGUGCUCUUUAGGGUUAACGCCCAGAAGAGCCGCAGUGAAUAGGCCCAAGCGACUGUUUAUCAAAAACACAGGUCUCUGCUAAACCGUAAGGUGAUGUAUAGGGGCUGACGCCUGCCCGGUGCUGGAAGGUUAAGAGGAGUGGUUAGCUUCUGCGAAGCUACGAAUCGAAGCCCCAGUAAACGGCGGCCGUAACUAUAACGGUCCUAAGGUAGCGAAAUUCCUUGUCGGGUAAGUUCCGACCCGCACGAAAGGCGUAACGAUUUGGGCACUGUCUCAACGAGAGACUCGGUGAAAU